GGCAUUUGAGGUGGUAGAUUCCGUACCGACCACACGCCGAAGGUAUUGACAGGCGCAAGCCGAGAGACGCGGGAGAAGGGUACGCCCGCCAAAUGCC
RNAcentral lists this non-coding RNA (97 nucleotides) under unclassified sequences. RNAcentral's name for it is "skipping-rope RNA". It matches the Rfam family "skipping-rope RNA". From Rfam's summary of the family: Firmicutes, Fusobacteria, AlphaProteobacteria, Spirochaetes. The record is from RNAcentral.